GUGAAUCAUCGAAUCUUUGAACGCAUAUUGCACUCUCUGGUAUUCCGGAGAGUAUGCCUGUUUGAGAGUAAUUAAAAAGAAUCUUUAACCAAGUUUUUUUGGUCAAAGUAAAUGAGUUCUUCGCGUUGAUAGCGGUAGCUUGAAAUAAAUGGUAGUCUCAGUUUAGUCGAGACGCGUAAUUAUAUUAUUGCACGGAAUCUUUAUUAUGUUACUAUCAAUUUUUUAUGCAUACAAUUUUGGUUUGUAUGCUAACAAUAC
This 258-nucleotide unclassified non-coding RNA is filed under the name Ambisporaceae sp. RNAcentral's name for it is "partial contains 5.8S ribosomal RNA and internal transcribed spacer 2". The stretch from base 1 to 71 matches the Rfam family "5.8S ribosomal RNA", at positions 84 to 154 of the family's 154-position model. Lineage: Eukaryota; Fungi; Glomeromycota; Glomeromycetes; Archaeosporales; Ambisporaceae. The record is from RNAcentral.